RNAcentral lists this ribosomal RNA (819 nucleotides) under Lambiella fuscosora. RNAcentral's name for it is "SSU rRNA". It matches the Rfam family "Bacterial small subunit ribosomal RNA", at positions 366 to 1217 of the family's 1533-position model. The record is from RNAcentral. Lineage: Eukaryota; Fungi; Ascomycota; Lecanoromycetes; Baeomycetales; Xylographaceae.
GGUCAAUAGCCUAACGGCUGAACCAGCAACUUGGAGGAAUGUAUAGCGAAAGCUGGUUGUAUUAACUUAUAGUUAGUGCAGCAUCGACUAUGUCGAAUAAAGUUCUAGGUAGAGUUAUGAUAAUGACAUUUUCUAUCUAUGUGUCUCGACCAAAUCACGUGCCAGCAGUCGCGGUAAUACGUGGGAGACUAGUGUUAUUCAUCUUUAAUUGGUUUAAAGGGUACCUAGACGGUUCGUCAAGCCCCUAAAGGGUACUAAUGGACUAGAGUUUUAUGAGAGGGGGAGGUGAACGUGAGAGUGGAGAGAUGAAAUACUGUCAUACCUUAGAAGUAACAGGCAACAGCGAAAGCAACCUUUUAUGUAAAAACUGACGUUGAAGGACGAAGGCUUAGUAAAACGAACAGGAUUAGAUACCCCAGUAGUAUUUGCAGACAAUGAUGAAUGUCAUAGAUUGAAAUUAAGUAUUCUUUUUUUUAUAAAAAUAUUGUUUUAUCUAUAAAUGAAAGUGUAAGCAUUCCACCUCAAGAGUAAUGUGGCAACGCAGAAACUGAAAUCAUUAGACCGUUUCUGAAACCAGUAGUGAAGUAUGUUAUUUAAUUUGUUGGCCCGCAAAACACCUUACCACAACUUGAAUAAUUCGAUAAUAUCGAAAUACAAGCGUUGCACGGCUGUCUUCAGUUAAUGUCGUGAGAUCUUGGUUAGUUCCAUAAAAUUAACGUAAACCCUUACUUUAUUUUUGUUAUAGAGUAGUUCACCGCUAUAUUGGAUAUGAUAAAAGGGACUAAGACAAGUCAAUAUGGCCUUAAUGUUGUGGGCUAU